Molecule: ribosomal RNA, 253 nt
Filed under: Segatella copri DSM 18205
Lineage: Bacteria; Pseudomonadati; Bacteroidota; Bacteroidia; Bacteroidales; Prevotellaceae
Description: Prevotella copri DSM 18205 partial 16S ribosomal RNA
Rfam family: Bacterial small subunit ribosomal RNA
Source: RNAcentral
UACGGAAGGUUCGGGCGUUAUCCGGAUUUAUUGGGUUUAAAGGGAGCGUAGGCCGGAGAUUAAGCGUGUUGUGAAAUGUAGACGCUCAACGUCUGCACUGCAGCGCGAACUGGUUUCCUUGAGUACGCACAAAGUGGGCGGAAUUCGUGGUGUAGCGGUGAAAUGCUUAGAUAUCACGAAGAACUCCGAUUGCGAAGGCAGCUCACUGGAGCGCAACUGACGCUGAAGCUCGAAAGUGCGGGUAUCGAACAGG